CGUGGUACUGUUAAUUGAGAUUAGUGAUUAUGUUUUUUUUUUAAUGUGGAAGUGAUUUUUACGUUCAUUAUUUGUUUAUAUAUUAAGGUUAGAGACUAGAAUAAUGAAUAUUUUUUUGGAUACUAAUUGCAUCCCCACAUAUCCCUAAUUGUAAAUUAUAUCUUGUUUGAAUAAAAUCAAGAAUCAUAACGGUUCAAUUUAUCAAUUUUUACUUAAAGAUCAUUCAAAAAAUAUCAUUCGAAUUGGAGAUUGUUUUAUCAUCCCAACACAUCAAAAUAAAUGUGGUUCAUCAUAAAUUUAUUACUCGGUACCUAUACUAUCGUUAAUUUGUUUUACACGUUUGAAUGACUAAAUAAUUUUUUAUUGAAAUGACUUUCUAUGGGGGUGACACAAGUUAUUCGCAAGGGAAAAACCAGUUUAUCCCUCCAAGAGGAGGAAUGCAAGUAUUACCCAUAUUUUUUUAAGCCACAAAUUGGUAAAAAAGUAAGCAAACUGAAAAGAACACCUCAACAAAACUAUAUAAUUUUCGCUUAAUGUCAAAAUAGUCGAUGUGUUAUAGUCAUUUGGCCAAUUUAGUAUUUGUGUAUUUAAUUUGGCAUUUAAUCUUCGCGUUGAUCUUCGCUAACCAAGGACAUUACAUCCAAUUUCUGUUAAAAAUUCAUAAAAAUAUUAUAACCCAUUAUAGAAAGAUAUUGUUCAAUUAAGAUAAAAAGAAAUUUAAUUUCAAAAUGAAAAGAAAAUAUAUUAAAACAACCCAUUAUACAAAGUUAUCUUGAUUCACCAACCCAUGAAAGUGAAAGCCCUGAAUUCGCCACCCGAUUGUUUCUUUUUAAUUAACGUGGUACUGUUCAUUGAGAUUGGUGAUUAUGUUUUUUUUUAAUGUGGAAGCGAUUUUUACGCUCAUUAAUUGUUUAUAUAUUAAAGUUAGAGACUAGAAUAAUGAAUAUUUUUUUGGAUGCUAAUUGCAUCCCCACAUAUCCCUAAUUGUAAAUUCUAUCUUGUUUGAAUAAAAUCAAGAAUCAUAACGGUUCAAUUUAUCAAUUUUUACUUAAAGAUCACUCAAAAAAUAUCAUUUGAAUUGGAAAUUGUUUUAUCAUCCCAACACAUCAAAAUAAAUGUGGUUCAUCAUAAAUUUAUUACUCGUUACCUAUACCAUCGUUAAUUUGUUCUAUACAUUUGAAUGACUAAAUGAUUUUUUAUUGAAAUGACUUUUUAUGGGGGUGAUACUCAAAUGAAGAUUAAGAAACUAAAGGGUUCCAACUAUAAAUUUGUAUGAUCGAUACACGUUAUUCGCAAGGGAAAAACGAGUUUAUCCCUCCAAGAGGAGGAAUGCAAGUAUUACCCAUAUUUGUUUAAGACACAAAUUGGUAAAAAAGUAGCAAACUGAAAAGAACACCUCAACAAAACUAUAUAAUUUUCGCUUAAUGUCAAAAUGGUCGAUGUGUUAUAGUCAUUUGGCCAAUUUAGUCUCUAUGUAUUUAAUUUGGCAUUUAGUCUUCGUGUUGAUCUUCGCUAACCAAGGACAUUACAUCCAAUUUCUGUUAAAAAUUCAUAAAAAUAUUAUAACCCAUUAUAUUUUUCAAUUAAGAUAAAAAGAAAUUUAAUUUCAAAAUGUAAAGAAAAUAUAUUAAAACAAACCCACCCUGCCAUCCGUCAUGU
This 1659-nucleotide long non-coding RNA is filed under the name Malus domestica (apple). Its description in RNAcentral is "long non-coding RNA (MDOM_LNC010770)". Lineage: Eukaryota; Viridiplantae; Streptophyta; Magnoliopsida; Rosales; Rosaceae. The record is from RNAcentral.